Molecule: ribosomal RNA, 252 nt
Filed under: uncultured bacterium
Lineage: Bacteria
Description: partial 16S ribosomal RNA
Rfam family: Bacterial small subunit ribosomal RNA
Source: RNAcentral
UACAGAGGUCCCAAGCGUUACUGAGAAUCACUGGGUUAAAGGGUGCGUAGGUGGUCCGUUAAGUCAGUUGUGAAAUCCCCGGGCUCAACCCGGGAAAUGCUUCUGAUACUGGCGGACUUGAGGCCAGUAGGGGUCACUAGAACUGACGGUGGAGCGGUGAAAUGCGUAGAUAUCGUCAGGAAUGCCGGUGGUGAAGACGGGUGACUGGGCUGGUUCUGACACUGAGGCACGAAAGCGUGGGGAGCGAACGGG